Baffinella frigidus is the source of this 83-nucleotide non-coding RNA. Lineage: Eukaryota; Cryptophyceae; Cryptomonadales; Baffinellaceae. The record is from the annotation of a GenBank genome assembly.
GUCCCUAUAGCUCAAUUGGUUAGAAAUACUUAAGCGUAUGACUGUUAAUCAUAAGGUCGAGAGUUCGAGUCUCUCUGGGGACG